This 56-nucleotide transfer RNA is filed under the name Lottia gigantea (owl limpet). It matches the Rfam family "tRNA", at positions 8 to 63 of the family's 71-position model. From Rfam's summary of the family: Transfer RNA (tRNA) molecules are approximately 80 nucleotides in length. Their secondary structure includes four short double-helical elements and three loops (D, anti-codon, and T loops). The record is from Rfam by way of RNAcentral. Lineage: Eukaryota; Metazoa; Mollusca; Gastropoda; Lottiidae.
UAGCUCAGUGGUAGAGCGUUGGUCUGACAAUCAGGACCUGAGGGUUCGAAUCCUUU